CAGAGGUCCUUUCGGCACGGCUGGUGGCGGAGUUACUGAGAAAGGAGAGUGCUCGCCAGUCGCUCGACGGAACUCCGGUGCCGCGGGAAGACCCCCGAAAUCUGCCCGGACCGAGAAGGACAUAGUGAGAGAGAAGAUAGGACUGGCAAUCACCUACUCACCAGCCUGCUGACACUAGCCAGGCCACUCUGCCUGUGUUCUGCCUACAUGCCAGAAGAGGACACCAGAUCUCAUUACGGAUGGUUGUGAGCCACCAUGUGGUUUCUCAGAACUGAACUCAGGACCCCUGGAAGAGCCAGUCCUCUUAACCUCUAAGCCAUCUCUCCAGCCCCAAGGAUUCCCUAGAAUUUGAGUUAUAGACAGUUGUGAACUGCCUUACUUGGAAACAAAUCCAUGUCCUCUGCAAGAGCAACAAGUGCUCUUAACGCGUUGGCCAUCUCUCUAACCCCUAAAAUAACUUUUAUAGCUACCAACCCUAAAAAGAAGAGUGCCUUUUUAUCAGUUGAUGUCAUGCCAGGAAAUUUGUACCACCCAUUUCCUACACUGUAUUUCAGAAAAAUCUAACCUUAAGAUUAAAGUGCACUGUGUGUGAAGUUAU
Molecule: long non-coding RNA, 598 nt
Organism: Peromyscus californicus insignis
Lineage: Eukaryota; Metazoa; Chordata; Mammalia; Rodentia; Cricetidae
Exons: 3
Source: RefSeq, a predicted model, not a curated record